Molecule: transfer RNA, 73 nt
Filed under: Segniliparus rotundus DSM 44985
Lineage: Bacteria; Bacillati; Actinomycetota; Actinomycetes; Mycobacteriales; Segniliparaceae
Description: tRNA-Val (TAC) (tRNA-Val-TAC-1-1)
Rfam family: tRNA
About the family: Transfer RNA (tRNA) molecules are approximately 80 nucleotides in length. Their secondary structure includes four short double-helical elements and three loops (D, anti-codon, and T loops). Further hydrogen bonds mediate the characteristic L-shaped molecular structure. tRNAs have two regions of fundamental functional importance: the anti-codon, which is responsible for specific mRNA codon recognition, and the 3' end, to which the tRNAs corresponding amino acid is attached (by aminoacyl-tRNA synthetases). tRNAs cope with the degeneracy of the genetic code in two manners: having more than one tRNA (with a specific anti-codon) for a particular amino acid; and 'wobble' base-pairing, i.e. permitting non-standard base-pairing at the 3rd anti-codon position.
Source: Rfam by way of RNAcentral
GCGCGUGUAGCUCAGCGGUUAGAGUCCUGGUCUUACACACCAGUUGUCGGGGGUUCGAAUCCCUCCACGCGCA